GCAUGGUUGGCAGAGCGGCGAUUGCGGCAGAUUGUAGAUCUGUUUUCCGAAAGGAACACGGAGGUUCGAGUCCUUCACCAUGCA
This 84-nucleotide transfer RNA is filed under the name Acidobacteriota bacterium. Its description in RNAcentral is "tRNA-Tyr". It matches the Rfam family "tRNA". From Rfam's summary of the family: Transfer RNA (tRNA) molecules are approximately 80 nucleotides in length. Their secondary structure includes four short double-helical elements and three loops (D, anti-codon, and T loops). The record is from RNAcentral. RNAcentral also lists the same sequence under 1 other name. Lineage: Bacteria; Pseudomonadati; Acidobacteriota.